This 274-nucleotide ribosomal RNA is filed under the name uncultured bacterium. RNAcentral describes it as "partial 16S ribosomal RNA". It matches the Rfam family "Bacterial small subunit ribosomal RNA", at positions 523 to 796 of the family's 1533-position model. The record is from RNAcentral.
AUACGGAGGGUGCAGGCGUUGUCGGGAUUUAUUGGGUUUAAAGGGUGCGUAGGUGGCGUGUUAAGUCAGUGGUGAAAGCCUGCAGCUCAACUGUAGAGGUGCCAUUGAUACUGACAUGCUUGAGUAUGGACGAGGUAGGCGGAAUUUGUGGUGUAGCGGUGAAAUGCAUAGAUACCACAAAGAACACCGAUAGCGAAGGCAGCUUACUGGACCAUAACUGACACUGAGGCACGAAAGUGUGGGUAGCGAACAGGAUUAGAAACCCUAGUAGUCC